RNAcentral lists this ribosomal RNA (865 nucleotides) under uncultured organism. RNAcentral describes it as "bacterial SSU rRNA". It matches the Rfam family "Bacterial small subunit ribosomal RNA", at positions 30 to 886 of the family's 1533-position model. The record is from RNAcentral.
UGAACGCUAGCGGGAGGCCUAAUACAUGCAAGUCGAACGGUAACAGGGCAGAACUUCGGUUCAGCCGCUGACGAGUGGCGCACGGGUGAGUAACGCGUAUAUAACCUGCCUUCAAGAGAGAGAUAGCCCUGGGAAACUGGGAUUAAUACCUCAUAGAAUUGCUAAGUCGCAUGGCUGUGCAAUUAAAGCUUCGGCGCUUGAAGAUGGAUGUGCGUACCAUUAGCUAGUUGGUAAGGUAACGGCUUACCAAGGCAACGAUGGUUAGGGGGCGUGAGAGCGUGACCCCCCACACGGGUACUGAGACACGGACCCGACUCCUACGGGAGGCAGCAGUAAGGAAUAUUGGACAAUGGAGGCAACUCUGAUCCAGCCAUCCCGCGUGCAGGAUGAAUGCCCUACGGGUUGUAAACUGCUUUUAUUUGGGAAGAAACCUGGUCAUUUACUGAUCAGUUGACGGUACCUUAUGAAUAAGCACCGGCUAACUCCGUGCCAGCAGCCGCGGUAAUACGGAGGGUGCAAGCGUUAUCCGGAAUCACUGGGUUUAAAGGGAGCGUAGGCGGCAUAAUAAGUCAGAGGUGAGAGGCUGUAGCUCAACUAUGGAAUUGCCUUUGAUACUGUUAUGCUUGAAUCGAGUUGAGGUCAGCAGAAUGUGACAUGUAGCGGUGAAAUGCAUAGAUAUGUCAUAGAAUACCAAUUGUGAAGACAGCUGGCUGGACUUGUAUUGACGCUGAGGCUCGAAAGCGUGGGGAGCAAACAGGAUUAGAUGCCCUGGUAGUCCACGCCCUAAACGAUGUUUACUCGAUGUUGGCUUUUAGAAGUCAGCGUCCANCGGAAACCAUUANGUAAACCACCUGGGGAGUACGUC